GACGAGGUGGCUGAGUGGUUAAGGCAAUGGACAUUGUGCUCUUUUUUGCGUGGGUUUGAGUCCCAUCCUUGUUG
RNAcentral lists this transfer RNA (74 nucleotides) under Danio rerio (zebrafish). It matches the Rfam family "tRNA". Rfam says of the family: Transfer RNA (tRNA) molecules are approximately 80 nucleotides in length. Their secondary structure includes four short double-helical elements and three loops (D, anti-codon, and T loops). The record is from Rfam by way of RNAcentral. Lineage: Eukaryota; Metazoa; Chordata; Actinopteri; Cypriniformes; Danionidae.